AUUGAACGCUGGCGGCAUGCCUUACACAUGCAAGUCGAACGGCAGCGGGGACUUUGGUCCGCCGGCGAGUGGCGAACGGGUGAGUAAUGUAUCGGAACGUACCAUUCAGUGGGGGAUAACUAUCCGAAAGGGUAGCUAAUACCGCAUAUUCUGUGAGCAGGAAAGCAGGGGAUCGCAAGACCUUGCGCUGAUUGAGCGGCCGAUAUCAGAUUAGCUAGUUGGUGAGGUAACGGCUCACCAAGGCUACGAUCUAUAGCGGGUCUGAGAGGAUGAUCCGCCACACUGGGACUGAGACACGGCCCAGACUCCUACGGGAGGCAGCAGUGGGGAAUUUUGGACAAUGGGCGCAAGCCUGAUCCAGCCAUGCCGCGUGAGUGAAGAAGGCCUUCGGGUUGUAAAGCUCUUUCGGCCGGGAAGAAAUCGCAUCAGCUAAUACCUGGUGUGGAUGACGGUACCGGAAUAAGAAGCACCGGCUAACUACGUGCCAGCCGCCGCGGUAA
Molecule: ribosomal RNA, 500 nt
Filed under: uncultured bacterium
Lineage: Bacteria
Description: partial 16S ribosomal RNA
Rfam family: Bacterial small subunit ribosomal RNA
Source: RNAcentral